Molecule: long non-coding RNA, 602 nt
Organism: Notolabrus celidotus (New Zealand spotty)
Lineage: Eukaryota; Metazoa; Chordata; Actinopteri; Labriformes; Labridae
Exons: 2
Source: RefSeq, a predicted model, not a curated record
AGCAGUGGUUCUAGUCUUGGUUUUUCAGUGUUGGCCUUGAAUGCAGCCUCCUGAAAGUAGGUCAACUCCUCCCCUGGUCCAGCCCCUUAAUUAGCUGCACCAUAUAUAAAGCACCUGUGGCAACAUGGCUGCCUUUUCAGCUUGUCUGCUUGCUGGUUGCCACAUGCUCCUUGCUCUGAGUAGCCCCCUGUCUGCUUCUCUGCCUCUCUGCCUCAUGUGAACUGGUGUCAGGUUUGUUUUUUUCAAAUAUUCUUAACUCACUGCUGAGAUGUGGAGAUAUGCAUGAUUGCCUUAAUGCCAUUUUGUAGUGGUAAGUGCACUGAGACACAAUAGUUUGCACCUGUUGCUGUGAGUUCACGAGUGGUGAGUAAGUUGCACUCCUGGGACACCCUCUUCAAUGUUAGGCUGCCUCCCAUUUAGCUAUUUUGAAAUGACCUUCGAUUGGAAGUGUCCUUUUUAUUAUAAGAUAAACUCUUUAUGCUGUAAUAAACUUUAAUACAUCUUCCUAAAUUGACUAAUUCACCUCCUUACAUCAAUAACUAACACUCCUCUCUUCACAGAUACUUCCAGUCUAAAUCAAUAAAUGUACAUUGUCUUUUGAA